GACGAACGCUGGCGGCGUGCUUAACACAUGCAAGUCGAACGGGCCCGCCCCUGUUUUUGGGGGUGGGUUGAGUGGCGAACGGGUGAGUAUCACGUGAGUAACCUGCCCCCUGCUCCUGGAUAACUGCUUGAAAGGGCGGCUAAUACGGGGUGUGCCGGCUGGUCCGCAUGGGCCUGGUCGGGAUAGUUUCAUCUUCGGGUGUUUCGGCGGGGGAUGGGCUCGCGGCCUAUCAGCUUGUUGGUGGGGUGAUGGCCCACCAAGGCGGUGACGGGUAGCCGGCCUGAGGGGAUGGGCGGCCGCGCUGGGGCUGGGACACGGCCCAGACUCCUGCGGGAGGCAGCUGUGGGGGGUAUUGCACAAUGGGCGGAAGCCUGAUGCGGCGACGUCGCGUGAGGGAUGGAGGCCUUCGGGUUGUGAACCUCUUUCUCCGGUGGUGAAGGCCCUGUCCGUUGCGGCGGGGUUGACGGUAGCCGGGUAUGAAGCGCCGGCUAACUACGUG
This 499-nucleotide ribosomal RNA is filed under the name uncultured bacterium. RNAcentral describes it as "partial 16S ribosomal RNA". It matches the Rfam family "Bacterial small subunit ribosomal RNA", at positions 28 to 507 of the family's 1533-position model. The record is from RNAcentral.